CAGUUACGGUUCAUUGGAUAUUAUUUUUUUACAUGGAUAACUGUGGUAAAUCUAGAGCUAAUACAUGCACAAAAGCUCUAACCUUUAAGGAAAGGGCGCAUUUAUUAGACCAAGACCAAUGGUUAUAAUUUAUAUUAUAACUUAAAAAGUUGGUGACUCUGAAUAACUGAGCUAAUCGUAUGGCCUAUGUGCCGACGAUAUAUCCUUCAAGCGUCUGCCUUAUCAACUGUA
RNAcentral lists this ribosomal RNA (231 nucleotides) under Demodex brevis. RNAcentral describes it as "partial 18S ribosomal RNA". It matches the Rfam family "Eukaryotic small subunit ribosomal RNA", at positions 107 to 323 of the family's 1831-position model. The record is from RNAcentral. Lineage: Eukaryota; Metazoa; Arthropoda; Arachnida; Trombidiformes; Demodicidae.